UACAGAGGGUGCGAGCGUUGUCCGGAAUCACUGGGCGUAAAGGGCGCGUAGGUGGUGACCUAAGCGUGCGGUGAAAGCCCGAGGCUCAACCUCGGGUCGGCCGUGCGAACUGGGUCACUGGAGCAGAAUAGAGGCAGGUGGAAUUCCGGGUGUAGCGGUGGAAUGCGUAGAGAUCCGGAAGAACACCGGUGGCGAAGGCGGCCUGCUGGGUUGUGGCUGACACUGAGGCGCGACAGCGUGGGGAGCAAACAGG
Molecule: ribosomal RNA, 253 nt
Filed under: uncultured bacterium
Lineage: Bacteria
Description: partial 16S ribosomal RNA
Rfam family: Bacterial small subunit ribosomal RNA
Source: RNAcentral